This 1127-nucleotide ribosomal RNA is filed under the name Salmonella enterica. Its description in RNAcentral is "partial 23S ribosomal RNA". It matches the Rfam family "Bacterial large subunit ribosomal RNA", at positions 114 to 1231 of the family's 2925-position model. Lineage: Bacteria; Pseudomonadati; Pseudomonadota; Gammaproteobacteria; Enterobacterales; Enterobacteriaceae. The record is from RNAcentral.
CCGAAUGGGGAAACCCAGUGUGAUUCGUCACACUAUCAUUAACUGAAUCCAUAGGUUAAUGAGGCGAACCGGGGGAACUGAAACAUCUAAGUACCCCGAGGAAAAGAAAUCAACCGAGAUUCCCCCAGUAGCGGCGAGCGAACGGGGAGGAGCCCAGAGCCUGAAUCAGCAUGUGUGUUAGUGGAAGCGUCUGGAAAGGCGCGCGAUACAGGGUGACAGCCCCGUACACAAAAGCGCAUGUGCUGUGAGCUCGAUGAGUAGGGCGGGACACGUGGUAUCCUGUCUGAAUAUGGGGGGACCAUCCUCCAAGGCUAAAUACUCCUGACUGACCGAUAGUGAACCAGUACCGUGAGGGAAAGGCGAAAAGAACCCCGGCGAGGGGAGUGAAAAAGAACCUGAAACCGUGUACGUACAAGCAGUGGGAGCACCCUUUGGGGUGUGACUGCGUACCUUUUGUAUAAUGGGUCAGCGACUUAUAUUCUGUAGCAAGGUUAACCGAAUAGGGGAGCCGGAGGGAAACCGAGUCUUAACCGGGCGUUAAGUUGCAGGGUAUAGACCCGAAACCCGGUGAUCUAGCCAUGGGCAGGUUGAAGGUUGGGUAACACUAACUGGAGGACCGAACCGACUAAUGUUGAAAAAUUAGCGGAUGACCUGUGGCUGGGGGUGAAAGGCCAAUCAAACCGGGAGAUAGCUGGUUCUCCCCGAAAGCUAUUUAGGUAGCGCCUCGUGAAUUCAUCUCCGGGGGUAGAGCACUGUUUCGGCUAGGGGGCCAUCCCGGCUUACCAACCCGAUGCAAACUGCGAAUACCGGAGAAUGUUAUCACGGGAGACACACGGCGGGUGCUAACGUCCGUCGUGAAGAGGGAAACAACCCAGACCGCCAGCUAAGGUCCCAAAGUCAUGGUUAAGUGGGAAACGAUGUGGGAAGGCCCAGACAGCCAGGAUGUUGGCUUAGAAGCAGCCAUCAUUUAAAGAAAGCGUAAUAGCUCACUGGUCGAGUCGGCCUGCGCGGAAGAUGUAACGGGGCUAAACCAUGCACCGAAGCUGCGGCAGCGAACGUAUCACUUAAAGCGAUUCAGCGGGUUACGAUUGACGGAGCGAAGCGACGUCAAAGCGUAUACAAAGUCG